RNAcentral lists this transfer RNA (89 nucleotides) under Pseudolactococcus raffinolactis. RNAcentral's name for it is "tRNA-Leu". It matches the Rfam family "tRNA". From Rfam's summary of the family: Transfer RNA (tRNA) molecules are approximately 80 nucleotides in length. Lineage: Bacteria; Bacillati; Bacillota; Bacilli; Lactobacillales; Streptococcaceae. RNAcentral also lists the same sequence under 4 other names. The record is from RNAcentral.
GCGGAGAUGGCGGAAUUGGCAGACGCGCAGGAUUAAGGAUCCUGUGACCUACUUUGGUCGUGAGGGUUCAAGUCCCUUUCUCCGCACUA